This is a long non-coding RNA of Monopterus albus (swamp eel), 810 nucleotides long. RefSeq lists it as uncharacterized. NCBI's taxonomy places the organism in Eukaryota, Metazoa, Chordata, Actinopteri, Synbranchiformes, Synbranchidae. The transcript has 3 exons. The record is from RefSeq and is a predicted model, not a curated record.
CUCAAUGUAUGGCUAUAUCUACAUGCCGAAAUUAGGGCUGCCGUUAUUCAUACGUCACUGGUUGUCAUGGUAAUGAGGACCUGACCUAUAUAAGUAGGAUUCUAUAUUCACUCUGCCCCUGAACGGACGGAAAGGAGCUGAACUAAGUGAAACUCUUCAACCUUGAACAAGAGCUGACUUGUUGAGAAGUGAACAACUUGAUUUCAAAAAACAUCUGUGGUAAACUGCUCACAUCUUUAAGGGCGAAAGCAGCUUUAUUGCAGAAACAUCGCCCCCUCUGGUUUUCUCCGUGAGAAGCGCCUGCUGAUUCUUGGCUUCCACCACUCCGCUAUGCUACCUGGAUAUUGUUGACCAUGUUGAAAGGCCUCUGCCAGUGACAUCUGACCCUCACCUCUGAUGGCAGCACCAGCAGGUAUGAUGGGGACUGCUUCAGGCUCCGGUUCAGCUCCUGUAACUAUUCUCAUUCUUGUACUCCCUGUGAAGAUGGAGCUGGGAGCCCUGAAGACUGACUGCAGAAACUGUGUGCAAGUCCUGAAGGUUGAUGGCAGCACUGUGACCAAAGUCAUCUCCCCAGUCUACUGCUCUGAAAGCAGUGAGCUGACAAACUGCUGCAGAGUGAGUGCUACAGCCUCUCUCCCUCCCUGGAUGGCUGCAUCUCUGGCCAGAGACAGGCCCUGAGGCCUGCAGCCUCUCCCCCUCCCUGGGCGUAAGACCUGUCAUGUGUAUGAUGGCUGCGUCUCUGGCAGGAGACAGGCCAGCGCGGCCCGAAGCCUCUCCAGACACGCCGGGCCUGCUGCAAAAGAGAGCGUG